This 253-nucleotide ribosomal RNA is filed under the name uncultured bacterium. RNAcentral's name for it is "partial 16S ribosomal RNA". It matches the Rfam family "Bacterial small subunit ribosomal RNA", at positions 524 to 776 of the family's 1533-position model. The record is from RNAcentral.
UACGUAGGUGACAAGCGUUGUUCGGAUUUACUGGGCGUAAAGAGCGCGCAGGCGGUCGUGCAAGUCGCGUGUGAAAGCCCCCGGCUCAACUGGGGAGGGUCACGCGAUACUGUUCGACUCGAAGGCAGGAGAGGGAAGCGGAACUCCCGGUGUAGUGGUGAAAUGCGUAGAUAUCGGGAGGAACACCAGUGGCGAAGGCGGCUUCCUGGCCUGUACUUGACGCUGAGGCGCGAAAGCGAGGGUAGCAAACGGG